Molecule: ribosomal RNA, 533 nt
Filed under: uncultured archaeon
Lineage: Archaea
Description: bacterial SSU rRNA
Rfam family: Archaeal small subunit ribosomal RNA
Source: RNAcentral
UUCCGGUUGAUCCUGCCGGACCCGACUGCUAUCAGAGUGGGACUAAGCCAUGCGAGUCAACGCCGCAAGGCGUGGCAUACGGCUCAGUAACACGUAGUCAACAUGCCCAAAGGACGUGGAUAACCUCGGGAAACUGAGGAUAAACCGCGAUAGGCCAAGGUUUCUGGAAUGAGCCAUGGCCGAAAUCUAUAUGGCCUUUGGAUUGGACUGCGGCCGAUCAGGCUGUUGGUGAGGUAAUGGCCCACCAAACCUGUAACCGGUACGGGCUUUGAGAGAAGGAGCCCGGAGAUGGGCACUGAGACAAGGGCCCAGGCCCUAUGGGGCGCAGCAGGCGCGAAACCUCUGCAAUAGGCGAAAGCUUGACAGGGUUACUCUGAGUGAUGCCCGCUAAGGGUAUCUUUUGGCACCUCUAAAAAUGGUGCAGAAUAAGGGGUGGGCAAGUCUGGUGUCAGCCGCCGCGGUAAUACCAGCACCCCGAGUUGUCGGGACGAUUAUUGGGCCUAAAGCAUCCGUAGCCUGUUUCUGCAGUCCUC